UUAAUUGUGAAAUAUAUAAUAUAUAUUUAUGGAUCAACAUCAAAUUAAAAAAAAUAGAAGACCACCAUAAUAGUGUCAAUAAAAUUUUUAGACAAGUCAAAGCAAGCUGAAAUCUCAGAGACUAUUAUGUUUAUUUGCUAACUGUAUUGUUAGAUUGCCUAGUUGGUGCAAUUAAUACAAUAAUUCUUCUAAUUUGCAACACUGCCAGACACCAGUGACUCAAUGCAACUCACUGACUCUCAGAGAAGUUUAUCCCCUCUGCCAAUGUUUAUCUUUCUUGGCAAAUCAUCUUUAGUGCUCCAAGCAAACUAGAGGAUGGUGAAGCUGAAGAAGAUUCUACUUUCUGUUCCAUGCAGAGAGCUUCCUGGUAUUCAAAAAAGAGUGAGCCAUGUGGGUGUGAAAGAGCUGAGGGAUGAAAUUUGGAUCUUAUCAUAAGUGCAGAAGGAAAAUCAGGGGAUUUGAAGCACAAAUGUGAUAUGACCUAAUUUCUACUUUUAAAUGAUCACUCUGAUUGUUGUGAGGAGACUGAUAUGGGAUGAGCUGAGGGAAGAAUGUUACCAAGACCAGCUGGAAGCUGUUAAAGUCCUCCAGGAGAGAGCAUCAUGGCUGAACAAUCACCUUCUAGGAAAGGUCAUGCGAAUGGUCAUAUUUGGGAUGUAUUUUGAAGGCGGAAGCAAUUAGAUCAGCUAAUGAUGGAGGGAGUGAGGAGUUUUGAACCACUAGGUAAAUACCUGUCAGUAACUGAGAAAAUGUUGGGAUGUGUUAUGAGAGAUGAAUCCUAAAAUUUCAUAUGUUGAAGACUGAUCCUUCAGGGCCUCAGAAUGUGAACAUCCAUAGUAGAAGGCAAGUGUGGUGCUGAGGGCUGCCACUCACUUCUAGGUGCCCAAGCUCCUGCAGCAGUCCUGCUUCUCCCUUUCACCCACCCACCCUCACUCACAGACAGUGUCCCUUUCAGCUCUUCCAUUACCUCUGUUUUUGAUUUGUCUGGUGAGAGCAUAGCUGAUAUUUAUGCUUUCCGGAUACACUAGUCUCUUUUGCUGAUUGCUGACAUUGGAGAAGUUUAGGGAACAGGCCUGAGCUGAGUGACCUUUAGGAGCAUUUCCUGUUCUUUUCCUGUACUCUACUGCCAAGAAAAAACCUGUCUUGCACUAGGCCUGCAGAUUUCUCAGUUGCCCACAUCAUCAGGCAGUAUCUGCCUGGCACUCCUCUUUGUUCCUUUUCUCUGACCUUCGUUUUUGACAUGAUGGUUGACCUGGCGUCACCUAGGCAAGACUGCUCACUUCCACCUCCUAUGGAAAACAGUAUCUGGUGAAACCAGAGACAAUAAUCUCCCUAACACACUGGGAGCUGCUGGGCUCAAGCAACUACUCUAUGCUUAAGAUGCAAUUCAUAAAGCCCAACCAGAACUGAUCCACUUCCCACAGGGCCAGAGAAGAAUUGACAAUUAAGAAGGCAUUCCCCCUCAAAUCGGUCUAUAUUUAUUCCAGGGAAAAUAACAAUCUGUCUGGGUCCCUUACAAGAACAAUGUUGUAUGCAGCAAAAUCUAAUCUACUAGGAAGGCUUCUUGUAUUAUUAUCUGUAACUCUUCAGAAGGGCCAGACCAGACCCUUGUAUGCACAGCACAGGAUCCACUCAUGCACACCUGGCUAGGGGCUUGUCUUUAUGAUUUUCUGUCACAUGGCCUCUCAGCCAUACCUCCAAUGAAGCUAUCUUCAAAUAAAGAUUAGCCAUGCACAAAAAGUGAAAAAUUACACUAGGCCUACACAAGGUCUGAAUUGGAAAGUGCAGCUGGUGACACUGACUAGUAUAUUUUAUGAAUUGAUGAACACGGAAUUUCUAGGUAUCCUGGAGCAAUCAGCAGCUGAGGAGAGAGCUACCAAAUCAAGACCCUGACAGGGCUUUUUGGAAACUUAAUUUUUUAUUGUCAAAUUAUACAGAAAAAAAUGAAAGUAAAGGUAGUGAGGAGUACCAUACACCAUCACUUAGAAGAAUAAGUAACGGACAUUUGUGUGGGGAGAAAAAAAAGAUAUAGGAAGAAAAGUAAACAUGGCAAGGUAGAUUCAGAAUACAAGAUAUAGACAAAUAAGUGUGAGAAAGAAAGAGUAUUAGAAUAUUAUAGAUAAAUAUUCUCUGUGUGAAAGAACACUCUGAUGAAACACGUGAUACAAUUACUGAGUAAAAAACAGAAGACCAAUCAAUCCAAGGCGGAUAACAUUACAAAUUAUCUUAGUUGAAUGUAUAAUUGUGGCGAUUUAAUUAUCCGUGAUGACAAUUAUAAUAUUUAUUAGAAGAAAUAAAGUAGAGGAUGAAUUAUAUAGAAUAUUCUGGAGAAAGUAGAGGUCUUAGCUAUAUGACAUCGUCUGGCUCACUUAGGGAACCAUAUAUUCAGUUUGUUCAGGUCUAGAAAUCCCUUGGUGGUUUCUGUGUUCAGUUUUGUUUUAAUAAACCAUAAAGAUAUUUUUAAAAUACAAAUUUUUUAGCUUGCCUGUGUUGUACAGCACCAGGGCUUGCCUGAGUGUAGUGAGAUCCACAGAGUUUGGACAGUCCCUGUAGCCUGAGCAGGCUAUGGGGUAACUUUCUCACAUCUAUGUGUACCCAGGAGUGUGCUGUCCUCACACAUCUCACAGAUAAGCAAGACCAUCUCUAUUCCAUGAAAAAUUUAGCUAAAUGUGGAAAUAUCCACACACACACACAUAUUACGAGAGAUGGAAAUAGGCUACAAAAAGAGUCAGAGAUAUUGACCAUCUUCACUGUUAGCUGUGGGAUAGCUGCCCGCCACCCCGACACACCGACACAAACACACAUACACAGAAACAGAAAGCACAGUGGAAAUCAGAAUAGCAGUCUUUCCAAACAGAUUGAAAACCAAAUGAUGUCGAAAGUUCAAUUCUGACACUGUGCUGAUUGCUUGGACACAAUUCUGUCAAAACAUGUAUCCAAGUCAUAGUUGUACCUUUUAGAUAUUAGAUACAAACAACGUCCUACCCAACCCUUCCUGCUGGGCUAGAGUCCCAAAGAAAUGAGGGAUACACUUGACCUGCAGUAAGCAAAGCAGAACCCAGUCUCUGAGGUGAUGAGGCCCACCCAGCAGGGAGCUCAAAUGCGCCAUUGUUCUGCUUGUCUUUAUAAAGGGAGCUGACACGUUCUCCCAGCACAAAGUUGGGAGUGACUCCAGAGCCUCCUGCAAGAUGCUUCUGAUUCUGCUAUCAGUGGCCCUGCUGGCCUUCAGCUCAGUUCAGAGCUCAAGUGAAGAUGUCAGCCAGGAAGACGUUCCCUCCAUAAUAUCAGAUGAGGAAGACUCUGACCAGUUCAUAGAUGAGGCGCAUCAGGGACCACUUUUGGGAGGAGAGCUAUCUAAACACCCUGCUGGUGAUGGAAACAAGGAUGAUGGCCCUCAGCAGAAACCACCCCAUCACGGCCA
Molecule: long non-coding RNA, 3421 nt
Organism: Cercocebus atys (sooty mangabey)
Lineage: Eukaryota; Metazoa; Chordata; Mammalia; Primates; Cercopithecidae
Exons: 3
Source: RefSeq, a predicted model, not a curated record